UUAAAGCUUGCAGCUAGCAGUGCACUUUCACUUGCCCUAGGUGUGACCUGCCUCCUCCAGCUUCCAGCAAGAAGUCUGAAGCGCAGUUGCUGUGUGCAGAAUCGCACCUUCAGUGAAGACUUAAUGCUUCAGAAAGAAACUCUGUAUUAAAAACAGUCCUGACCGUUUCCUUUCAAGAUCUGAUGUUAUGUUCCUUGUGGCUUUUUAAGGCAGCAUACUGCAAUUGCUGAGAUGUUAAUUGUGUGCUGGAACCUUCUGGAAUCACACAAGUUCAGGAUGCCUAGAGACAAAUGACAUGGAAAAAGGCCUCUGUGACAUAGGUCCGUAUUGGCACUGACUGUACAAGUGGAAAGACACCUAGACAGAAGUGGGUUUCAUUCUAAAGCAAUUCAGGAAAACAACAGAAGAAGCUACAAAUGUUUUGUGAAUAUUAAGAUGAAGUUCCAGAAGAACUAAUGAGUAUGUAAUUGGAAACACAAAUUUGCAUACAAAUUUGAACGUGAUAUUUCAAAGCUUGCAAACAUCAAAGUGUAUUAAAAUGACAAGCUAC
Molecule: long non-coding RNA, 550 nt
Organism: Neopsephotus bourkii (Bourke's parrot)
Lineage: Eukaryota; Metazoa; Chordata; Aves; Psittaciformes; Psittacidae
Exons: 5
Source: RefSeq, a predicted model, not a curated record